Molecule: long non-coding RNA, 1563 nt
Organism: Myxocyprinus asiaticus (Chinese sucker)
Lineage: Eukaryota; Metazoa; Chordata; Actinopteri; Cypriniformes; Catostomidae
Exons: 2
Source: RefSeq, a predicted model, not a curated record
GGAGCCAUCUUGCGCUUUUCCUUUUUUCUUUUUUUUUUUUUUUAUCCUCUUCGUUGAUGGGGAUCGUUUUCGGCACCGUUAAUAUCGUUUUAUGGAAGUGAGACACGUUUAACACAGAAACCGGUGAGAAUUAGGAUGCUUAUUGUAUUCUAUUUGACAACAUUACCUUGCAUUACUGGUGAACGUAACAAGACUCAGAGCUGCACAUGCAAACCUCAACACUUGGUAAACCAAACGCGAUGAUUUCAACAAUCAACAGAUACUUUUUUUGAUCAUGAAUGAGUAAUUUUGAGAAGAAAAUGAACUUCAGACUUCACAAAACAAGAAGUUACUAAAUGACAACAAAAUCAACAAUAAAACAUGCACACAGUAAAACCAUGCAAGCUCAUUAAUUAAGCCCAGAACAUGCUGGUAACACCAGCUUCAAGAAGUUAAGUAAGAGUUACUUAUUUUAUAUACCUGUGAAUUUUUCUCAGAUUAGCAGAUAAAUAUGAUGAGGUUUUCUACUUUAGGGUUGAUGCAUUAUAACGCAUCGUAAAGAUAACAAAUAAUCAUAAAUAUGAUUUAUAUUUGACAUUUGUGUAUAUCAGAUGUUUAAAUUGUGCUGUGUUAAUUUGAUGUUAUUGUAAAUUGGUAUAUGUCUCAUCACUGUCACGACUGCUAUGUUGAUCGGAACUGCACCCAAGAAUUUCACACAUCAUUGCACUUGUGUAUAUGGCUGUGUGACAAUAAAGUGAUUUGAUUUGAUUUGAUAAAUAAUGUUUACUUAUGAGCUAGAGCAUUAAUGUUUUCAUGUUUGAAUUUUGUACAAAUGUAGAAUGUACUUAAUACUUUCGAGUUCACGCUUAAACUAACUUAUUUAAUGUAGCAAGUACUUAAUUUUUCUGCUAUAUUUCCUUUACCACAAAAACAUUUUCAUUAUAGUUAUGGUGAAGGCUCAGAAAUGCAGUUUUAAUUUAUGUAUAAUGUGCAAGCAAAUUAAAGGGCUACAUUAGUAUUUUAUUGUUAUUUGAUUAAAAAGACAUAAAACACAUGAAAUGAAUUACGUGUGAACACAAAAAGAUUUAAAUCACAAUGAGUCCUAUGAGCAGCAUGAAAAAUAUACAUUCCAAUAAAGUAAAGGUAAUAUAAUGUAAGCGAAACCUUAUUAAGUAUGUCAAUAAUCCAAAUAGGAUUUUAUCAGAACAUUUAAUUUCAGAACAAUUCAUCAGAUAAUGGUAAAUGGAAACAUUCUGUUAGAGAGAGGAGAAAAAUCUGAUCUCCAUGUUAAUGGUUAGUAUGGCUUACUAAAACACUGGCAACAAAUGGUGAAGAUGGAGGCCCAGCCAUACAAAUCUCCAAAAUGAGAGCAGGUAGAGAGUAAAUAAAGACACAUACACCAUCUGAGUUGUAGCUGCUCAUGACCCACAGCCUGAAGCAUAAAGGGGUUUGGUAUGGUAACAUCUAAAAUGAAUGUCUACAUAAGGGACACAGAAUAUUUCCAUCUAUCCAUAUAUAUAUAUAUAUAUAUAUAUAUAUAUAUAUAUAUAUAUAUAUAUAUAUAUAUUUUUUUUUUUUUUUUUA